CCUACGGGUGGCAGCAGUGAGGAAUAUUGGUCAAUGGGCGGGAGCCUGAACCAGCCAAGCCGCGUGAGGGAAGAAGGUACAGCGUAUCGUAAACCUCUUUUGUCAGGGAACAAAGGCAGGGACUAGUCCCGGAUGAGGGUACCUGAAGAAAAAGCAUCGGCUAACUCCGUGCCAGCAGCCGCGGUAAUACGUAGGGUGCGAGCGUUAAUCGGAAUUACUGGGCGUAAAGGGUGUGCAGGCGGUUAUGCAAGAUGGAUGUGAAAGCCCCGGGCUUAACCUGGGAAAGCCAUACAUGACUGCAAGACUAGAGUGCGUCAGAGGGGGGUGGAAUGCCAAGUGUAGCAGUGAAAUGCGUAGAUAUUUGGAAGAACACCGAUGGCGAAGGCAGCCCCCUGGGACGCAACUGACGCUCAUACACGAAAGCGUGGGGAGCAAACAGGAUUAGAUACCCUUGUAGUC
Molecule: ribosomal RNA, 459 nt
Filed under: uncultured bacterium
Lineage: Bacteria
Description: partial 16S ribosomal RNA
Rfam family: Bacterial small subunit ribosomal RNA
Source: RNAcentral